CAACUACUCCCUCUGUCCCAAAUUUCUUGUCUUAGAUUUGUCUAGAUACGGAUGUAUCUAAUACUAAAAUGUGACUUGAUACAUCUGUACCUAGACAAAUCUAAGACAAGAAUUUUGGGACGGAGGGAGUACUUU
This is a non-coding RNA of Triticum aestivum (bread wheat), 135 nucleotides long. NCBI's taxonomy places the organism in Eukaryota, Viridiplantae, Streptophyta, Magnoliopsida, Poales, Poaceae. The record is from Rfam.